Molecule: long non-coding RNA, 2124 nt
Filed under: Homo sapiens (human)
Lineage: Eukaryota; Metazoa; Chordata; Mammalia; Primates; Hominidae
Description: HSALNT0201633
Source: RNAcentral
ACUUAACACCACAUGAAAUUGAAGUUCAUGGAAUUCAAAGACGAGGCCCAAGAGGCAGCAGCAAAGGUCAGCAUCUCCACCACCCCAUCAGGUCUUGCCCAUGUUGACCCAGGUGCUGGGACAGGAGGCACACACUGAACUUACUGCUCCCGUUGACUUCUCAUCUGGUUCCAGCCAGGCUUUGAAGAGGGUCAGAAGGAUGGAAGACUUGGCCCCUCCUCUCUAGUAGUGUACACCAUGCCUGAGGAGACCACAUAUCAACAUGGAACAGCCCCGGUUAGGGCACAAGGGCGCUGGGGCCUGGACAGUCAUGCCAUGGGAGCUCAGUGGGAGGCUGGACUUAGGCUGAGGUGCGUGGGGAGAGCUUCCUGGACAGCUGGGAUCUAAGGAUGCUUAAAUCAUGGACAGGAAAGCAGCUGCAGCCUAACGAAGAGCAGGGGUGUUAGGAGGCUUCCCUAAAGUUCUGUGACCCUGUAGAACUGUUGCCACUGCUAUGGUCACUGCUGCAACUACAAGCACUGCAUCUGGCAUGGGAGCUUGAUGGACCAGAGCACAUGCAAAGAGGGCAUCGGAAAUCCCAGAAGGGUAUGCGGGACCUUGUACCCUGUGGGAUUCCCAUGCUUACUUCAGGCAAACAGUAAGCCAGUAAGUGGAUGGCUGGCAGAGCUUCCCCCAGACUCUGAGGCUCUCAAACCCAUCUUUCGUGCAGAGAGAAUUGUGUGGUUAUCAUCCCCAGAACUCACCUGCUGAGUAAUUCGAUGCGAGUGAUUUGAUGUUCAGUCCCUCCUAGCAGGAGGCAGACCAGCAGGGAGUUACAGUUAACACUAACUGGGCAUGGCUAUUGAGGCAGGAGAGUAGGGUCUGGAGUCAGGCUGGUCACAGGCCAAGUCUUCAUUUGCAGAGGAGUAUAACUUUGUAAGUUCACUUCAGCCUCUGAUUGGUCACUUUCUGCAAUCAAUCAGACAUUUGCAUAGGGUGUAACUUUGUAUCUUCACUUCAGCCUCUGAUUAGUUGCUUUCUGCAAUCAAUCAGACUGAUCGUGGGCCACUAUUUCAUUUACAUAGGGUGUAAACCAAGUAACCAAUGGAAAACCUCUAGAGGGUAUUUAAACCCCAGAAAAUUCUGUAACCAAAGCUCUUGAGCUGCUUGCUCGAGCCCCCUCCCACUCUGUGUCGCGUACUUUUGUUUCAAUAAAUCUGUGCUUUUCUUUUGUUGCUUUGUUUGUGCUUUUUGUCCAAUUCUUUGUUCAAAAUGCAAAGAACCUAGACAGUUAUGACUUUUUGUUUUCAUUGUCCUUUUUCCAAAAUUGUAUCUGAGGGGAGACUUCCUGGGCUCUGUUAAGAUCAAGCACAUCUGCCUUCAGGGAUGAUGGGCUUGAGGCAAAUACUCAAAGCCACCUGAGGGUCCUCUUGUCCACUGUGUCUAUUCCAUCAAGGAGCACACAUUUGGAGCUGGGGAAGAGCAUGGUCCAUCUUGGUGUCAGAGAGGAGGCUACUGUCCUGGCUGAACCAGAGGGAUUGCCAAGAGAACAGGAAAAAUCGAGCCUAUGGCAUGAAAGGGCAGCUGUGGUGAACUGUUUGCGCAGACCAAUGUGUCAGUAGUGUCUACCUGGGUCAAAAGACACCUCUGGUCUUUCUUUAACCUGUCUCCUUGCCUUCAGGAUGCUACCUCUACCCAAAUGCUGCUGCCCCUGAUAUCUUCCUAAGAACAGAUCUAAUCAUGUCACCAUUCUGCCAGCACCCCGGGAAGGCUCAGGGUCACAUAUCAAAACAAGUUCAGGACUUCUAGCAUUAUGGCAGAUGGCCUUCCCAUGAAAAAAAAACAUAGAAAUGUUGGGUAAACGAUAACAACAAAAGUUUUUUUUAAUGUGUGCUGUCUUUAAACAAAAUAAAAGGAAAUCCUCACGUGGUAGAAAUGGAAGAGAGAAACCACAGCCAAAGCAGUAAGUAUAAGCUGGAAACCUAGAGCCCAUGGAAAUUGCAGAGGAGCCAAAUUUAGGCUCUAGAGACUGGGCUGAAAUUAAAGCACCUGUGUGAGAAUAGGACAUGUGGCCUUAGGCUUGCUUGGAGGAGAGAAAAUGGUUUUUUCAUUUGUUUGUUUUAAGACGGAGUCUCGCACUGUUGC